RNAcentral lists this unclassified non-coding RNA (215 nucleotides) under uncultured fungus. Its description in RNAcentral is "sequence contains ITS1". The record is from RNAcentral. Lineage: Eukaryota; Fungi.
UUUCUUUUGUUUUAUAUUUUUAUAUACAUUCUUAGACUGGGUAGAGUUUAAAAAUUGGGUCUACCAACUUCUCAAAUCAGAACUGUAAAGUUCCAAGGCAAGUCGAAGGCAGAUGUAAUAGUUCACAGUGUAGAAGAAUGAAGGUCAGGCCUCUCUGAUGAAGAGAGCACCCUAUUUAUUCAUUAAUGAUCCUUCCGCAGGUUCACCUACGGAAA